UGGGUUAGUGGCGGACGGGUGAGUAACGCGUGGGCAACCUGCCUUACACAGGGGGAUAACACUUAGAAAUAGGUGCUAAAACCGCAUAAGCGCACAGCUUCGCAUGAAGCGGUGUGAAAAACUCCGGUGGUGUAAGAUGGACCCGCGUCUGAUUAGCUUGUUGGCGGGGUAACGGCCCACCAAGGCGACGAUCAGUAGCCGGCCUGAGAGGGCGGACGGCCACAUUGGGACUGAGACACGGCCCAAACUCCUACGGGAGGCAGCAG
RNAcentral lists this ribosomal RNA (266 nucleotides) under uncultured bacterium. RNAcentral's name for it is "partial 16S ribosomal RNA". It matches the Rfam family "Bacterial small subunit ribosomal RNA", at positions 88 to 354 of the family's 1533-position model. The record is from RNAcentral.